Molecule: ribosomal RNA, 1359 nt
Filed under: Staphylococcus aureus
Lineage: Bacteria; Bacillati; Bacillota; Bacilli; Caryophanales; Staphylococcaceae
Description: partial 23S ribosomal RNA
Rfam family: Bacterial large subunit ribosomal RNA
Source: RNAcentral
GAGAAUGCCGGUGUGAGUAGCGAAAGACGGGUGAGAAUCCCGUCCACCGAUUGACUAAGGUUUCCAGAGGAAGGCUCGUCCGCUCUGGGUUAGUCGGGUCCUAAGCUGAGGCCGACAGGCGUAGGCGAUGGAUAACAGGUUGAUAUUCCUGUACCACCUAUAAUCGUUUUAAUCGAUGGGGGGACGCAGUAGGAUAGGCGAAGCGUGCGAUUGGAUUGCACGUCUAAGCAGUAAGGCUGAGUAUUAGGCAAAUCCGGUACUCGUUAAGGCUGAGCUGUGAUGGGGAGAAGACAUUGUGUCUUCGAGUCGUUGAUUUCACACUGCCGAGAAAAGCCUCUAGAUAGAAAAUAGGUGCCCGUACCGCAAACCGACACAGGUAGUCAAGAUGAGAAUUCUAAGGUGAGCGAGCGAACUCUCGUUAAGGAACUCGGCAAAAUGACCCCGUAACUUCGGGAGAAGGGGUGCUCUUUAGGGUUAACGCCCAGAAGAGCCGCAGUGAAUAGGCCCAAGCGACUGUUUAUCAAAAACACAGGUCUCUGCUAAACCGUAAGGUGAUGUAUAGGGGCUGACGCCUGCCCGGUGCUGGAAGGUUAAGAGGAGUGGUUAGCUUCUGCGAAGCUACGAAUCGAAGCCCCAGUAAACGGCGGCCGUAACUAUAACGGUCCUAAGGUAGCGAAAUUCCUUGUCGGGUAAGUUCCGACCCGCACGAAAGGCGUAACGAUUUGGGCACUGUCUCAACGAGAGACUCGGUGAAAUCAUAGUACCUGUGAAGAUGCAGGUUACCCGCGACAGGACGGAAAGACCCCGUGGAGCUUUACUGUAGCCUGAUAUUGAAAUUCGGCACAGCUUGUACAGGAUAGGUAGGAGCCUUUGAAACGUGAGCGCUAGCUUACGUGGAGGCGCUGGUGGGAUACUACCCUAGCUGUGUUGGCUUUCUAACCCGCACCACUUAUCGUGGUGGGAGACAGUGUCAGGCGGGCAGUUUGACUGGGGCGGUCGCCUCCUAAAAGGUAACGGAGGCGCUCAAAGGUUCCCUCAGAAUGGUUGGAAAUCAUUCAUAGAGUGUAAAGGCAUAAGGGAGCUUGACUGCGAGACCUACAAGUCGAGCAGGGUCGAAAGACGGACUUAGUGAUCCGGUGGUUCCGCAUGGAAGGGCCAUCGCUCAACGGAUAAAAGCUACCCCGGGGAUAACAGGCUUAUCUCCCCCAAGAGUUCACAUCGACGGGGAGGUUUGGCACCUCGAUGUCGGCUCAUCGCAUCCUGGGGCUGUAGUCGGUCCCAAGGGUUGGGCUGUUCGCCCAUUAAAGCGGUACGCGAGCUGGGUUCAGAACGUCGUGAGACAGUUCGGUCCCUAUCCGU